Equus caballus (horse) is the source of this 3199-nucleotide long non-coding RNA. Lineage: Eukaryota; Metazoa; Chordata; Mammalia; Perissodactyla; Equidae. The record is from Ensembl.
GAGGAGGGGCUUGCCACAGGAAGGGGAUGGCAGGUACGAUAACAAGGUUGGAAGGAGAAAGAGGUGUGGCUGGGAAGGAGAUCCACAUAACUGAAGACAAGAGUGAGAGUUGGAAGAAUUAAAGAGAUGUCAGAGACCAGAGGAUGUGAAUGUCUUCUUUCAUGUGAGUGUAAAAUUAGGUGGCGGUGACCAGACAAUAUCAGAAUGCCAAGGCCCCAGUUCUCUGGGCAAUUACAAAUGCUGACGCUGAAGGCCUGAUCUCAGAUAAUGAGAUACCACAUGUGUUAGGGAAGUUAUGAAACUCCUAUGUGGACCUGGAACAGAGACCAGUGAUACCACAAUUACCUUGGAAGAAAGAUUGAGAGUCCCAACAUAAAAGGGAUUCCAGCAAACUUUGAUUAAUGAAACAUCCAGCCUCUCAGGACAGGUAUAGAAGGCUAGAAAACUCCUCUUGGAAAACAACCCAGCAGAAGAGGACAGCAGAAAGCUUUUUCGGCCCUGGGGAUCUGACUCAAGAGGUGCACAGCCAAUACCCCUCACACUGAGGAGUAGAGAGAACCCACUCUCAGUUCCCCCGAGUUCCAGGAGCAGUGAAAUCACUAAAGAAGAAUAGAUGUGUCCAUCAAGAUGGCAAAACUGAGGCUGAGAGAAGUUAUACUUGACCAGAGUCACACAGCUAAUACAUGUUGAAACCAGGAUUUAAACACAGAUCUGUAUUGACCCAAAGCCCCGGUUUUCAGAAAAGCUCUGUGCCCAGAUACUCUGUUUGUCAUCUCUAGUUGUUGUGGAAUCUAGGAAAAGGCACAGAAAUGCCAUGUCAGAGCAAUUGCAUUUGGGAUUCAAUGUACUCUCAGCUGUGCACUGACGGCUUCCUCACCUACCGUUAUGAAGUCCUUUUGCUGGCAGUGAUUACAGAAGACGGUGACAUCGAAGAAGAGGCUCUGUCUGAAUUUGGGAGGCCUAAUAAAAAAAAAAAGGAAAUUGGAGAAAGAAACUUCUAUAGCAUUAAAAACUUGGAAAUGUUCUGGGGGUAUCAUCCACCCACCACUUUCAUUUUGCAGAUGGGAAAAUGGAUGAAGAGAGAACAUGUCCCCGCCUCCGAGAGGGAGAGGGAACAGCCCUAAAGAAUGAGACAGAGUCCUUGGCUUGUAGACUCAGACCAUUCCAAAAGAUCUAUAAGGUUGUUCGACUUCACUUGAACAGUAUUUGUUUUCUCUUUACUUCAGCAGUUCACUGCCAGGUGGAGUUGAGCAUGGGUGAUGCAAUGUAUAAGGGACCUGAAGCCUGAUCAUGUUGUAAUCAUGUCAUACACUAUGUCACUCUGGAUGGACCAAGCUUACCCAAGACAUACCUGCCUUGAUACUCACUCCAGAAGACAAGUCUGGUUGGUUGCGAGAUUUGAUGAGGGUUAGUAGGUAUCAUGUAGGGCUCCUGAUAUCUGAAAGUGAUUGACACUGCUCAUUCUCACAUUGUCAGUAAUUCGUAGUGUGUUCUGCAUCUAGCACAUUCAUGUUUAGAAAAACAAGGGAAACAAAUUUUUUCUUCUCCUUCAGAUUUCUUUAAUUUAAAUGUUUUGGGAAAAUAUUGGCUUUCUUCCUCAAUUCUUCAGCUGUUGUCUACCGCAAUGAAUCAGCUUCAAUUUCUCGAGUCACAUUAUUUCUUUUUUCUUUCCAAAAUAAUGGAAGAAUGUGAGUCCUCCCAGGCACAUCACACUAAGAAAUAUCAGGAACAAAAUGGACAAAAUGGUUUCUGUGAAGGAAUUAAUGGCUGAUAUUUAUAAUAUGCUUACGAUGUGUUAGGCACAUGGAUGUAUUUUAGGUUUUAACAUGAUGUUUGCCUCCUCAACUAUUCUGCUCUGUUUGGAAAUUCAUCAAGACUUUCAUAGUUGAGUUCUAUUCAUCCCAGAGAGGUUCGGUGUCCCUGGUCCAAUGCCAUUGUGUUUACCAUCACAGGGUUUAUAGCGUGAAAUUCUUUCCCAUGUCUUCCUUUGCAUUUGCAUCUUGAACUUACAAACUGAUCACAUUCCCUGAUAUUUAAGAUGGUCUUCUCCUUCAUUACAUGCAAUUAUUUCUCUCUGAAUUUUGCACCUUUUGAUAUUGAAAGCAUCUUUAUUAAACAGGCAGAUUUGAAAAAUUUUAAACAGACAUUGAAAAUAAUUUUUUAAAAUUCCUUUUUAAUUUCAUGAAGUGCUCUUUCACCUUUUAGCCAGUAGUUGUCAUCACCUAGACUAUUUUGGAGUACACAACAAAAAGUAGGCAGAUGUCAGAAAAUAAAAUGGUAACCCAAGUUUGAAGGUUAAUGUCUAGAAUGCAUUUUGAAAACAAGCAAGACACCCAAUACUCAAACUUGAAUUCUACUGAGCUACUUUUAUAACUUACAGAGCACCUUCAUUUCCUCUUAACUCAGCCUUAAAGCCUACUCCCCUCCCACCUGCUUAUACAGAGUUGACUACCACUGAGAUUCCUGCUGAGAUGUUUCUGUUUUGGGAUCUGACUUGCUGCUGAGCUUGUCAAUAGCUCAUCUCUUACUGGGUCUUGUGUCUUCCAUAUCAGCCCUACCCCUGAUAAUUCAUCAGCUUAUCUGCCCUCUGAUCCUCUGAAAGGAUCAAGGAAGGGGGAGAGGAAGAAAGGAAAGCCCCAGCUGAUGUCUAUGCUCAUCAAUCCUGGCAAGCCCUUCUCCCUAAACAUAAAAUCACUUACCACUAGUGUUUCCUAAAAUGAAUCUCAAGGUUAAUAGUUUUAUUUAUUUAUUUUGUAAGUUUUCCAAUCAAAUAAAUUUUGGGAACUGCUGACUUAAAAUUAAAUGAGUUUCUUUAUUGAAGACCUUCUCUAAGCUUUUAAUAUGUUAAAUUGCACUGUGAAUCUCUUAGAGGGCGAUGUAGAAUACAGUGUUUCCCAAACUCGUUUUACCGCAAAGCAUUUUUUUUUUCUGGGAGCAUAGUUUUGAGACUGUUUUAUGGAAUAUAACUUGUUAAAACUCAUUUUGAUUUUUCUCUUUUCUUUAGCUCAGUGUUUUCCAAACUUCAGUCAUUCAAUUAUCACCAUCAUAAUUUUUGCCAACAAUUUUCUUUAUAUCAACUCACUUUUUUACUUAAAUAAAUUUAUUUGAAAAGGAAAUGACUGUAAAUAUAAAAUAAGAAUUACUUGCCAUAAAUGGAAAAUAACAAUGAAAAUAAGUAGAAUGAAGUAAUAUUGUUAAU